GGGUUGUGAGGUUAAGCGACUAAGCGUACACGGUGGAUGCCCUGGCAGUCAGAGGCGAUGAAGGACGUGCUAAUCUGCGAUAAGCGUCGGUAAGGUGAUAUGAACCGUUAUAACCGGCGAUUUCCGAAUGGGGAAACCCAGUGUGAUUCGUCACACUAUCAUUAACUGAAUCCAUAGGUUAAUGAGGCGAACCGGGGGAACUGAAACAUCUAAGUACCCCGAGGAAAAGAAAUCAACCGAGAUUCCCCCAGUAGCGGCGAGCGAACGGGGAGGAGCCCAGAGCCUGAAUCAGUGUGUGUGUUAGUGGAAGCGUUUGGAAAGGCGCGCGAUACAGGGUGACAGCCCCGUACACAAAAAUGCACAUGCUGUGAGCUCGAUGAGUAGGGCGGGACACGUGGUAUCCUGUCUGAAUAUGGGGGGACCAUCCUCCAAGGCUAAAUACUCCUGACUGACCGAUAGUGAACCAGUACCGUGAGGGAAAGGCGAAAAGAACCCCGGCGAGGGGAGUGAAAAAGAACCUGAAACCGUGUACGUACAAGCAGUGGGAGCACAGAGCAAUCUGUGUGACUGCGUACCUUUUGUAUAAUGGGUCAGCGACUUAUAUUCUGUAGCAAGGUUAACCGAAUAGGGGAGCCGAAGGGAAACCGAGUCUUAACCGGGCGUUAAGUUGCAGGGUAUAGACCCGAAACCCGGUGAUCUAGCCAUGGGCAGGUUGAAGGUUGGGUAACACUAACUGGAGGACCGAACCGACUAAUGUUGAAAAAUUAGCGGAUGACUUGUGGCUGGGGGUGAAAGGCCAAUCAAACCGGGAGAUAGCUGGUUCUCCCCGAAAGCUAUUUAGGUAGCGCCUCGUGAAUUCAUCUCCGGGGGUAGAGCACUGUUUCGGCAAGGGGGUCAUCCCGACUUACCAACCCGAUGCAAACUGCGAAUACCGGAGAAUGUUAUCACGGGAGACACACGGCGGGUGCUAACGUCCGUCGUGAAGAGGGAAACAACCCAGACCGCCAGCUAAGGUCCCAAAGUCAUGGUUAAGUGGGAAACGAUGUGGGAAGGCCCAGACAGCCAGGAUGUUGGCUUAGAAGCAGCCAUCAUUUAAAGAAAGCGUAAUAGCUCACUGGUCGAGUCGGCCUGCGCGGAAGAUGUAACGGGGCUAAACCAUGCACCGAAGCUGCGGCAGCGACACUGUGUGUUGUUGGGUAGGGGAGCGU
Molecule: ribosomal RNA, 1208 nt
Filed under: Escherichia coli
Lineage: Bacteria; Pseudomonadati; Pseudomonadota; Gammaproteobacteria; Enterobacterales; Enterobacteriaceae
Description: partial 23S ribosomal RNA
Rfam family: Bacterial large subunit ribosomal RNA
Source: RNAcentral